UACGUAGGGGGCAAGCGUUGUCCGGAAUUAUUGGGCGUAAAGAGCUCGUAGGCGGUCUGCCACGUCCGCUGUGAAAACCUAGGGCUUAACCCUGGGCUUGCAGUAGAUACGGGCAGACUAGAGGUAGGUAGGGGAGAAUGGAAUUCCCGGUGUAGCGGUGAAAUGCGCAGAUAUCGGGAGGAACACCGGUGGCGAAGGCGGUUCUCUGGGCCUUACCUGACGCUGAGGAGCGAAAGCGUGGGGAGCAAACAGG
This 253-nucleotide ribosomal RNA is filed under the name uncultured bacterium. RNAcentral's name for it is "partial 16S ribosomal RNA". It matches the Rfam family "Bacterial small subunit ribosomal RNA", at positions 524 to 776 of the family's 1533-position model. The record is from RNAcentral.